AGUCUCAGCAAUGCCAGAUCUGAGCUGCCUCUGAGACCUACUCCACAGCUUGAGGCAAAUCCCUAACCCGCUGAACGAGGCCAGGGAUGAAACCUGCAUCAUCUCAUGGAUAGUCAGGUUCUUAACCCACUGGUCCACAAUGGGAACACUACUUUUGCCACUUUCAAGCUUCUGAAGUAUGAGUUUUCUCCACGACAUGUUCAAUUGUUUUAUUUACACCACUUCCACUCACUUUUAGUACUGAAAUCCCUUCUUUUCAUGUGAUUUCAUUAAGAUGUGCUCACUUAGGCAUUAGCUUACAUAGAAACUCACAUCACAGGAGUUUGCCCAUCCCAGGACAAAAGUGUGAGCAGAAUCAUCCAGGAAACAAACCCUGCACUUCCUCUACAGCACAGUUUCUGCCCUGAAUCAAUUCUUCCUUUAUCACAGAGGUGUUACACUACCUUUAUAGAAGCUGCUUAUGACUUCACAUUAGGUCAUUUAUAAUCUUAGUUCUUUUCUCACCAGGAUUCGUGGACAAGUGGGAAGUUUUGUUUUUUGUCUGAUUGGUGAGAUUGCAUUUGAAUCUUGUGGUCCACUUCUCAGAAGUGUGCGUCAGUUUUGACCACCCAGAAAACUAUGGCAGCACUGAAAUUUGUGUCUUUCUCCCUCCCUGACAUUGUAUCUUCUUUGUGAAUUCUCUUUCUUUCUUGCUUGCUUGCUUGUUAAUGAUAAUAGGGAAGAAGAAGUUAAGUCACGUGAACGUUUUUCCCUGUUUAAGGUCUGUUUCCUUUCUUACUGCACUUUCUCCUUUAAAUCCCAUUCGAUUACCUUUUUCAACACCAAUAAAUGCAUAUUUUUACAUGAGUUUCUUGGAAUCUUACUCUUCCAACAGAAUUGCCAUCUUUGUCAUUUAUUUAUUUCACAAAAUUGCUUCUUUGAUUUGUCCAGUUGGUGCAGUCUAUGCAUAUGUUUUGUCAGACUCAAGUAAAUUCUGUUAAUCAUACACCUCUGGGUACUGGCAUUUUCUCUGUAGCCUGUGUGAAGGUUUUGUCCAAGAUUAAAAUCAUUUGACUUAGACCUGCUUCCCUACAAGCUAAGCUUACUUUCCUUUCCUUUCAUGGGGUUUAACUGAGAAGACCUUCACUUGGGUAUUAGCUGAAAUAGAAAUUCACAAAACACGAGGUUAUAUAUUGUCAAUGGAUGAAAAUAUUGCAGAUGGAAGAGCCCAGAAAACAUGUCUCUGUGCACCUCUGGAAGCAGUGCUCAGGAUGCUCUAAUUUAGUUACUGCUGCUACUUUAUACCCUUUGGCUAUCACAAAACUCGAUUUAACUAUACAUAUUAAUUAAAUGCCAUCAAUUGAUUCAAUCUUACAAACAAUAAUAAAUGCCUGUAGUCCAAGGGAUCA
RNAcentral lists this long non-coding RNA (1388 nucleotides) under Sus scrofa (pig). RNAcentral describes it as "lncRNA (ENSSSCG00035027534.1)". The record is from RNAcentral. Lineage: Eukaryota; Metazoa; Chordata; Mammalia; Artiodactyla; Suidae.